GGCCAGGGGGCGGUUGCUUGCGGAGAAGCUGCGUAUGCAGAGGACAAAGCAGACCGUGUUGAACCAGCAGAUGCUGCACCCUGCUAUCAAGCAGACCAAGAACAUCUGCAGUGCAGCAUAUGAAUCAGAAUAUGAUCGAGAAUGAUAUGUAUUGUGUGCUUCGGGGGCCUAUUUGAUAUGGAACGCAUCUGGGGCUUGGGAUUGUGGAAGUUUGCGGUUUCCAUUCGUGUGCUGCUCCUGAUGAAUACAUAUAUUAAAGGAAGGAAGGUGUGGAGUCGGUGGAUGAUGAUGUGAGAAUGGCUGCGAUGCUUUCAGAGCCUGUUCCAGGGUGAUACAGCCUCAGUUGUUUUUCAGUUGUAAUUAUUAUUCUGGUGAUGGUAGACUUAUUUGGCACUGGCUGACAGGCUGAGAACAUGCUGUAUACAUAUGAGCUACAUACUACGACCUACCUGUGCUGUACCAGCAGGGUAGUUGAGCUCUAUUAUUGGAGGGCCGGGAGUUGACU
This is a long non-coding RNA of Panicum hallii, 505 nucleotides long. RefSeq lists it as uncharacterized. NCBI's taxonomy places the organism in Eukaryota, Viridiplantae, Streptophyta, Magnoliopsida, Poales, Poaceae. The record is from RefSeq and is a predicted model, not a curated record. The transcript is spliced from 2 exons.